This 45-nucleotide non-coding RNA is filed under the name Schistosoma mattheei. The record is from RNAcentral. Lineage: Eukaryota; Metazoa; Platyhelminthes; Trematoda; Strigeidida; Schistosomatidae.
AUCUAGCUGACGAGUCCUAAAUGGAACGAAACACACAUUCUGGAU